RNAcentral lists this ribosomal RNA (165 nucleotides) under uncultured bacterium. Its description in RNAcentral is "partial 16S rRNA". It matches the Rfam family "Bacterial small subunit ribosomal RNA", at positions 355 to 511 of the family's 1533-position model. The record is from RNAcentral.
UAGGGAAGUCUUCCACAAUGGGCGGAAAGCCUGAUGGAGCAACGCCGCGUGUGUGAUGAAGGGUUUCGGCUCGUAAACACUGUUGUAAGAGAAGAAUGACAUUGAGAGUAACUGUUCAAUGUGUGACGGUAUCUUACCAGAAAGGAACGGCUAAAUACGUGCCUG